RNAcentral lists this transfer RNA (71 nucleotides) under Marmota monax (woodchuck). It matches the Rfam family "tRNA". From Rfam's summary of the family: Transfer RNA (tRNA) molecules are approximately 80 nucleotides in length. Their secondary structure includes four short double-helical elements and three loops (D, anti-codon, and T loops). Lineage: Eukaryota; Metazoa; Chordata; Mammalia; Rodentia; Sciuridae. The record is from Rfam by way of RNAcentral.
GGGGUUGUGGCUCAGUGGUAGAGCGCUUGCUUAGCAUGUGUGAGGCACUGGGUUCGAUUUUCAGCACCUCA